Pelobates cultripes (western spadefoot toad) is the source of this 298-nucleotide non-coding RNA. The record is from the annotation of a GenBank genome assembly. Lineage: Eukaryota; Metazoa; Chordata; Amphibia; Anura; Pelobatidae.
CUGGGAACUACAUGAAGGAAAAAUUGACAGUUUGAGUUAUCUUAUAAGAAUUCAGAGUUUAAACGUGGUUGAGGCCUACGGUGCGCCUAGGGCUGAGUAGGUGUGCGAGCAUCAUUUUUUAAAUUAUAAUGCCUGGCGCCUUGAGCCGAAUAUGUGACAGGCGAGCAUAUCUAGGGAGUUGAGUGGUUAAAUAGCAUGACGCACAGCGAGGGUUGAUUGUCGGCUUUCUCAGUGUGAAUGUGUUUGCUAGUCAGCCUGUUGUGUGUGACAUUUUCUUAAGUACGUAUGACAAUCUAUC